GGACGGGUAGCUCAGUUGGUACGACCGCAUGGAUGCAGAAGGUAGAGCAACGCAGGAGCAGUUGCCGAGAGCGUGCGCUUGAAGCGCGCAGCGUCGGUGGUUCGAUUCCACCCCUGUCCACCA
RNAcentral lists this transfer RNA (123 nucleotides) under Magnetovirga frankeli. RNAcentral's name for it is "gamma proteobacterium SS-5 tRNA-Phe". It matches the Rfam family "tRNA". From Rfam's summary of the family: Transfer RNA (tRNA) molecules are approximately 80 nucleotides in length. Their secondary structure includes four short double-helical elements and three loops (D, anti-codon, and T loops). Lineage: Bacteria; Pseudomonadati; Pseudomonadota; Gammaproteobacteria; Chromatiales; Sedimenticolaceae. The record is from RNAcentral.